AUGGCGUCUGGGGGCCCGGAGUGUGGGAGAGAGGAAGAGGACGAGAAAGUAAGACGCCGGCCACUCUGAAGCCGGCCUUUGUGUCCCGGAAGCGGCCCCUGGGGAAGGCUGGCCCGAAGGAGGAAGAGAAGGAGCUCUCUGCUGUGGCCUGGGAAAGCAGUAGAAGAUGGCCCGAGUGCCUGGGCCCCUGCACCUGCAUGGGAGACCCCGAGGAAGCUCCUGGCUUCGGAUUGGCACAGCUCCAGCUGUUUCAGCCAACUGGGGAGUGAACCAUCUGGUAGAAGACCUCUCUCUCUCUCUCUCCCUCUCUCUCUGCCUCUCCCCUCUGUGUAACUGACUUUCAAGUAAAUAAAUAAAUAAAUGAAUUUUUAAACAAAAGAAAAGAGAAAA
Oryctolagus cuniculus (rabbit) is the source of this 390-nucleotide long non-coding RNA. RefSeq lists it as uncharacterized. NCBI's taxonomy places the organism in Eukaryota, Metazoa, Chordata, Mammalia, Lagomorpha, Leporidae. The record is from RefSeq and is a predicted model, not a curated record.